GACGAACGCUGGCGGCGUGCUUAACACAUGCAAGUCGAACGGAAAGGCCCUGCUUUUGUGGCGUGCUCGAGUGGCGAACGGGUGAGUAACACGUGAGUAACCUGCCCUUGACUUUGGGAUAACUUCAGGAAACUGGGGCUAAUACCGGAUAGGAGCUCCUGCUGCAUGGUGGGGGUUGGAGAGUUUCGGCGGUUGGGGAUGGACUCGCGGCUUAUCAGCUUGUUGGUGGGGUAGUGGCUUACCAAGGCUUUGACGGGUAGCCGGCCUGAGAGGGUGACCGGCCACAUUGGGACUGAGAUACGGCCCAGACUCCUACGGGAGGCAGCAGUGGGGAAUAUUGCACAAUGGGCGGAAGCCUGAUGCAGCAACGCCGCGUGCGGGAUGACGGCCUUCGGGUGGUAAACCGCUUUCGCCUGUGACGAAGCGUGAGUGACGGUAAUGGGUAAAGAAGCACCGGCUAACUACGUG
RNAcentral lists this ribosomal RNA (468 nucleotides) under uncultured bacterium. Its description in RNAcentral is "partial 16S ribosomal RNA". It matches the Rfam family "Bacterial small subunit ribosomal RNA", at positions 28 to 507 of the family's 1533-position model. The record is from RNAcentral.